UCUAGUGAAUAUGCUCGGAUGAUUGAAAAGAGGUACCUUGAUAUUGAAUUGACACUUCUUUUAUCAAUUAAGAGGAGUUCCAGUGGAACUCUCACUCUAGGUGUUUCUUGUAAUAUUGACAUAUUGCUGAGAAUCUAAUGAUAGUUCUGAUUUGGCAGGCAUGAGCAUAUAUUUACGAGUCCCUUGUGUGUUGACAAACUACCUAUUAGGUAGUGUUGCUAGAAAUCAUUUUAUACUUGGCUACGGUCCCUGUACUUUAUCUUGAAACAAUUGAUGAGCAUUUACGUAGUGCUACAAAUUAGAGUCCAUCGAGGGUUCUGAAAAUAGUAGAUGGGAGUGACCGGUAGCGAAACUGUGAAAUUGUUAGCUGAACUAUGCAGUUAAACUUGAUUAUGAGACCAUGCUGGUGUGUGCUAACCAUUUCUGUGAUGAAUACAUCAAAGUAAAUUGAUUGAAAAAUCAUGCCACUACCAGGUUUA
Molecule: long non-coding RNA, 479 nt
Filed under: Actinidia chinensis (golden kiwifruit)
Lineage: Eukaryota; Viridiplantae; Streptophyta; Magnoliopsida; Ericales; Actinidiaceae
Description: long non-coding RNA (ACHI_LNC005516)
Source: RNAcentral